Molecule: ribosomal RNA, 420 nt
Filed under: uncultured bacterium
Lineage: Bacteria
Description: bacterial SSU rRNA
Rfam family: Bacterial small subunit ribosomal RNA
Source: RNAcentral
UAAGGAAUAUUGGUCAAUGGACGCAAGUCUGAACCAGCCAUGCCGCGUGAAGGAUGAAGGUCCUCUGGAUUGUAAACUUCUUUUAUCUGGGACGAAAACGGGAUUUUUAUCUCAAUUGACGGUACCAGAGGAAUAAGCACCGGCUAACUCCGUGCCAGCAGCCGCGGUAAUACGGAGGGUGCGAGCGUUAUCCGGAUUUACUGGGUUUAAAGGGUGCGUAGGUGGGCUUAUAAGUCAGUGGUGAAAUCUCCGAGCUUAACUUGGAAACUGCCCUUGAUACUAUAGGUCUUGAAUUAUCUGGAGGUAAGCGGAAUAUGUCAUGUAGCGGUGAAAUGCUUAGAUAUGACAUAGAACACCAAUUGCGAAGGCAGCUUACUACAUAUAAAUUGACGCUGAGGCACGAAAGCGUGGGGAUCAAAC